CCUCCCCCUACUGCUUGUGCUUCCUUUCGCUUUGAAGUUCUGUGGCUCCGCACUGGAGUUGGGGAGGCAAGUCCUCCAGCCUCGGGCUUUUAAUAUUCACAUCACGUCCUCUUUGCAGCUACUUUGGGAGGAUUGAAAGCUACAAAGGACGUUUGGGUGACCUCCCCACAACACAAGGUGGGGUGGGGGGUUUCAACCCACACUGCCCCAUCUUGAAUCGCCAUGGAUGACCAAGUAGUUGAAACACGACGGGGGACUUAGGUGCCAGUCCUUCUAGGCAGAAGGGCCCUCUUGGGUUUUCAAUGAAAGGAAGAGUGUGAGGCAUUAAGAAGCCUGAGGAAGAGAGGAGAGAGGGGCUAGGGGCUCCCGCCUGGGAACAGGGAACUGCAAGAGGGCCUGUUCAGUGCUUUGGCCUAACUCGAAGUGGUGCCGCUAAGAGCAGCAGUUCAAAUCACAGUCAAACUCUAAACUUCACUCGAUGGCUUGGCAUCUGUCCCAUAUGAGAGCAGCUCAAAGGUGACUGGUGUCCUGGUUUCCACCGGUCAUGGUUUGAUGAGCAUUUCUUCGAAGAUGUGAACUGCCUACCCCAACGGCCCAGCUCUUGGCCCAACAGUCUACACCACGCUCAAGAUUGUCAAGAGGUCAUUGUGCUUGUUGGAUGGCUAGUUAACUCUUUACUCACCACUUCUUCCCUGACCCUCUUCUUGUAAAUUUCUAAAACUAGCAAUACAAGAUUCAAAUCUAAAUCAUCAUACAGAACUGCAUGUUGGGCAGAAUAAUGGCCUCCAAAGUAUCCAUGUCCUAAUCUCCAGAACCUGUAAACAUGUUACCUUUCUUGGCAAAAGGGAAUUAAAUUUGCAGAUAAAAUUAAGGUUGCUAAUCGCCUGACCUUAAAGUAGAGAAACCAGCCUGGAUUAUCUAGGUGGGCCCAAUGUAAUUACAAGUCUCCUUUAAAGGGGAAGAGGGAAGCAGUAAAGAUGGUCAGAGGAUGAGAUGUAAGAGGGACUCGACCUGCCCUUGCUGAAGGAAGGGGGCCAUGAGCCACAGUAGUGUCCUCUAGAAGCUCUAAAAGUCAAGAAGAGAAUUCUCCCCUAAAGCCUUCUGAAAGGAACUCUGCCCUGCUGAUGCGUCAGUCUUAGCCCGGUGAGAUGCAUGGUAGACUACUAAUGGAACUGUAAGGUAAUACAUGUGUAUCAAUUUAUGAUAACUGCUUAUAAUAAUUUGUUAUAGCCACAGUAGAAAACAAAUAUACACCUAGAUAGGUUGAACACUCCUUGGCCUCAACACUCUGCUUAAUGUAAGAAGUACUCCUUCCCUUAGCACAAUGUAACCUAGUGGAAUGCAUUCUUCCUCAGGGCUGCUAGAGGCUGGAGCACACACAUGGCUUUCUACAAAAUUUAGGAAAGUGAGCAACGAUGGAACCCUAAUUGGAGAAAAUAUGUAAUCACUCAUCAAGUCCUCUUGGUACUAUCUGAGUAGAGAGAAAGCACAUGGGCUUUGGCAUCUAGCAGACAUUGGUUCAAAUCCUGGCUCUGACAUUUAAUGCCUGUGUGAUCUUGAGUGAGUUAGCCUCCCAGAUGUUCAAUUUCUUAAGGGACACAUCACACCUACCUCAUGGGGUUGUUGUUGUAAAGAGUAAAAGAGUAAAUAAAAUAAGGUGUAUAAAGUACCUAUCUCAGAGCCUGGGGGGCAAGAUAGAAAUCCAAUAAAUCAUGUUAUCUUC
RNAcentral lists this long non-coding RNA (1723 nucleotides) under Homo sapiens (human). RNAcentral describes it as "novel transcript". Lineage: Eukaryota; Metazoa; Chordata; Mammalia; Primates; Hominidae. The record is from RNAcentral.